This 1806-nucleotide unclassified non-coding RNA is filed under the name Neodiprion lecontei (redheaded pine sawfly). RNAcentral describes it as "putative transferase CAF17 homolog, mitochondrial, transcript variant X2". The record is from RNAcentral. Lineage: Eukaryota; Metazoa; Arthropoda; Insecta; Hymenoptera; Diprionidae.
AUUCGUCGACUAGCCAUCUCGAAACUUAGUUCCAAAUACCUAUUUUGUGUCAGAGGGCGCUACGAGAUCAGCGACAUCACUCUCUGGGCAGCUGACAAUCGGCAGAUUAUCGAUUACCUAAAUUGCGAAUUCCCGAUGUGACGAUCCGACCAACGCAGUGGAUAUUAUAACCUCUAAAUGCGAGUCCCCCAUCCACCCCCGCCCAUUUCUAGUGAGACCGUAAAUUGUUUGUAAAAUUAUUGAAAACUAUCCGCGCGAAUGAAACACAAUAUAACGUAAGCUGAUUUCACGUAUCGUUGAUAUACUUGCAUUCUAUCCGCACGAAAAUCCAAAAAUUCCUAACCUAACUUAACCUCUACUUCUCAUCACAUUCGCCGGAAUCAAGUCGGGAGGGUUCGAAAUUUGAUAAGAAAAGAUAGUAAAAAGCCAAUUCGUAAUAGAAAUAUGUUUAAACUGAGGCCAUCGCGACUUCGACUAGCCGCCAACAUGACGAGAAGCAACUCGACGAAUCCAACUAGCAAAGUGAUAGAACACCUGAGCAAGAGGAGCCUCCUCAGAGUUUCUGGCACAGAAUCGUCCUCGUUUUUGCAAGGUCUGAUAACUAACGACAUGAGGCACUUGGACGAGGGGAAAGCGAGCAUGUACACAAUGUUCCUAAAUACGAAGGGCAGAGUGAUGUUUGACGCGAUACUCUACCGAACGCAUGAGAUCGGAGUCUAUCUGCUGGAGUGUGACAGUCGGGCUUUGAUGUCCGUACAAAAACACCUCAAGCUCUACAGAGUGAGGCGAAAGAUAGACAUUGAUGAUCUGAGCAACGAGAUGAAGGUCUGGGCAUUAUUCGAUCCUGACAAAGCAUCGAUUGAGUCGUGGAACGCUGGCGCGAACAUAACGAAGAAAAUUAAGCUCGAAGGACAGAUAUUCCCAUGUGAUUCCCUGGUUGAUAUCGUUGAUACCAGUUCGAGCAAAGUCAUAGAAAACAUCAGGAUAUACCCAGAUCCAAGGUUCUCGGGUCUUGGUUUCCGCAUUUUAUCCGACCUUGGGACACAAACCGGAGACAUCGUCGCUCGCGUCGAUCCAGACACCGUGGAGAGUAAGGAGGUGUCUACUGGCUACAGAUCCCUCAUUUACAAGCUGGGAAUUGGCGAGGGCUGCGACGACCUGCCGCCUGGCAAGGCGCUACCUCUGGAAUCAAACUGCGAUUAUUUACACGGCGUCAGUUUUCACAAGGGCUGCUACAUUGGCCAGGAAUUGACGGCAAGGACAUACCACACAGGGGUGGUCAGAAAACGACUGAUGCCCAUUACCCUUGAAAGUUCCCCUCCUGAGCCCAUAGAGUACGACGAGAGCAUUACAGAUGAGAGUGAGAAAUCAAUUGGUAAAUUGAGGGGACAUGUCAAUGAGAAUGGACUUGGACUUGUCCGUAUCGCCGAAGCACUAACUGCUCAGUCUCUCAGAAUAUCUGGACUCAAGGGAAAGGCUUUAAAACCUGUCUGGUGGCCGCAGGAAGCUCCCAAAGAAAGUGCAUCGAUCGGAAAGAGCGAUUGAAAAUGAGGGUAGAAGGGCCUCCAAUGGAUAAUAUUGUAUAGACAAUAUUACUAUUUUUUAAAAUCAAUUAGUAAUAUAGAUGAGAGAUUAUUUUGUAUAAGCGAUGCCGGCUGCAAAGACUGAUACGAUAGAUUUAGGAUGGAGUCAGUAGCUACCACAUCUGCGGAAUAUUCCGAGUUUUCUGAAACUCAUAAGCGAGUAAACAUGGAGCCGGAAAGUACGAAGAUAGAAAAAGAUCGUGGCAAAACGUUUGAGUGUAGC